RNAcentral lists this transfer RNA (118 nucleotides) under Candidatus Thorarchaeota archaeon. RNAcentral's name for it is "tRNA-Ser". It matches the Rfam family "tRNA". From Rfam's summary of the family: Transfer RNA (tRNA) molecules are approximately 80 nucleotides in length. Their secondary structure includes four short double-helical elements and three loops (D, anti-codon, and T loops). Further hydrogen bonds mediate the characteristic L-shaped molecular structure. tRNAs have two regions of fundamental functional importance: the anti-codon, which is responsible for specific mRNA codon recognition, and the 3' end, to which the tRNAs corresponding amino acid is attached (by aminoacyl-tRNA synthetases). tRNAs cope with the degeneracy of the genetic code in two manners: having more than one tRNA (with a specific anti-codon) for a particular amino acid; and 'wobble' base-pairing, i.e. permitting non-standard base-pairing at the 3rd anti-codon position. Lineage: Archaea; Promethearchaeati; Candidatus Thorarchaeota. The record is from RNAcentral.
GCCGAGGUAGCCAAGCCCGGAUUAAGGCGCUGGUCUUGAAAACCAGUGUCCUAUGGACGCGUGAGUUCAAGAAUUUCGUCAAUUCGACGAGAUUGAACACAUCUCACCCUCGGCGCCA